This is a non-coding RNA of Python bivittatus (Burmese python), 389 nucleotides long. The record is from RefSeq and is a predicted model, not a curated record. Lineage: Eukaryota; Metazoa; Chordata; Lepidosauria; Squamata; Pythonidae.
CUCUUGUUCUCACUGUGCCUGAUUAAGAAAGUACUUACAGCGAGCAUAGGAAGAAUGUAGGGAAAAUGCAGUCUUUGGGCUAGCUUGCUUUUCGCUAUGCUCAGCUAAAAGGCUUUGCAGAUCACAUUUUAAAGAAAUUUAACAAAAGGAUUCCAAGUGGAAUAAAAAGGAAAAACAUGGGGAUACUAUAUUCACAGCCCAUUUGCCAGGCAGCUUAUAAUAAUGACUUCAAUGAACUUCAGCUCCUAUUGGAAGAAGACAGCAAUAAUCUGAAUAUCCAGGACCAUUUUGGUGGAGACACACCAUUAAUCUGUGCAUGUAAAAAGGGGCACAACAGAAUUGUCAGUUACCUUCUGAAAAUGAAUGCUGAUGUGAACAUAAAAAAUAAG